UACUCAGUCUUCUGUCCCUGUGAACCAAG
This 29-nucleotide non-coding RNA is filed under the name Mus musculus (house mouse). Lineage: Eukaryota; Metazoa; Chordata; Mammalia; Rodentia; Muridae. The record is from RNAcentral.